UGGUAGGACAGUUUAGUUGGGGCGACUACCUUUGAAUAAGAAACGAAGGCGAGCUUAUGGUAUUAUUAAAAUCUCAUUAGCCUCACAGUGAGGGGGACACCCCUAGCUGGCACAAGGACUUCCCCGCAUAGUAUAUACGUAAGGGGGUUCCUAUGUGGGCGAUAGNGACCCGAUANGAUUWACNAAAAUAANUA
This 194-nucleotide ribosomal RNA is filed under the name Convexella cf. magelhaenica O22. Its description in RNAcentral is "partial 16S ribosomal RNA". Lineage: Eukaryota; Metazoa; Cnidaria; Anthozoa; Scleralcyonacea; Primnoidae. The record is from RNAcentral.